Ornithorhynchus anatinus (platypus) is the source of this 117-nucleotide non-coding RNA. RefSeq annotates it as microRNA mir-458. NCBI's taxonomy places the organism in Eukaryota, Metazoa, Chordata, Mammalia, Monotremata, Ornithorhynchidae. The record is from RefSeq and is marked provisional.
CCAGCGCUGCUUCCUGCUCGGUGCAGAUGGCAGCGCCAUUUUCAGAGCUAUAAACAGUAUCAUUGUCAUAGCUCUUUGAAUGGUACUGCCAUAUGUACUGGAAAAUCAGCUCUCAGG